AGUGAACGCUGGCGGUAGGCCUAACACAUGCAAGUCGAACGGCAGCACAGUAAGAGCUUGCCCUUACGGGUGGCGAGUGGCGGACGGGUGAGGAAUACAUCGGCAUCUACUUUUUCGUGGGGGACAACGUAGGGAAACUUAUGCUAAUACCGCAUACGACCUACGGGUGAAAGCAGGGGUUCUUCGGACCUUGCGCGAUUGAAUGAGCCGAUGUCGCAUUAGCUAGUUGGCUGGGUAAAGGCCCACCAAGGCGACGAUCCGUAGCUGAUCUGAGAGGAUGAUCAGCCACACUGGAACUGAGACACGGUCCAGACUCCUACGGGAGGCAGCAGUGGGGAAUAUUGGACAAUGGGCGCAAGCCUGAUCCAGCCAUGCCGCGUGGGUGAAGAAGGCCUUCGGGUUGUAAAGCCCUUUUGUUGGGAAAGAAAAGCAGCAGGUUAAUACCCCGCUGUUCUGACGGUACCCAAAGAAUAAGCACCGGCUAACUUCGUG
This 492-nucleotide ribosomal RNA is filed under the name uncultured bacterium. Its description in RNAcentral is "partial 16S ribosomal RNA". It matches the Rfam family "Bacterial small subunit ribosomal RNA", at positions 29 to 507 of the family's 1533-position model. The record is from RNAcentral.